RNAcentral lists this long non-coding RNA (384 nucleotides) under Medicago truncatula (barrel medic). Its description in RNAcentral is "lncRNA gene42043". The record is from RNAcentral. Lineage: Eukaryota; Viridiplantae; Streptophyta; Magnoliopsida; Fabales; Fabaceae.
GCAUAAUCUCAUAGAGAAUCCAUGUUCCUUAAGCAUAUAAUUGAGUCUUAUAUGAUGUAAUCAAAGAUUGAAAUACACGUGAAAGUGAGAAGAACAAAUAAGGGAUAAGAGAGAUGGAUUUAGAAGCAACAAAGUCUAGAAAGACAGGUAAAUGAUGGGGUGAAUAGCAAGCACGGUUGAGCAGGCAGGGGAAUGGGAUAAGGGCUAGGGGGAGGGAAUCGGUUAUUGGAAGAGAAGAAAGGUUUUUGCCAUAUUCAUGUGAUGUAAAUUUAGGAGUUUUUGUACCUAAAUAUGUAAUGAUUAAACGAAUAAAUGUAUGAAAGUUUGCAUAUUCAUUUCCAUUUAAAGCAAAGCUAUCAUUGAGGUUUCAUGCUUGCGGGGGAA